This 80-nucleotide transfer RNA is filed under the name Polyodon spathula (Mississippi paddlefish). RNAcentral's name for it is "tRNA-Ile". The stretch from base 10 to 80 matches the Rfam family "tRNA". Rfam says of the family: Transfer RNA (tRNA) molecules are approximately 80 nucleotides in length. Lineage: Eukaryota; Metazoa; Chordata; Actinopteri; Acipenseriformes; Polyodontidae. The record is from RNAcentral.
CACAAUAUAGGAACCGUGCCUGAAGGCCAAGGGCCACUUUGAUAGAGUGGAUAAUAGGGGUUCAAGUCCCCUCGCUUCCU